UGGGUAAUCUGCCCUGUGGUGGGGGAUAACCCGGGGGAAACCCCGGGCUAAUACCGCAUAUGGCCUUCGGGUCAAACCUUCGGGCGCCAGAGGAUGAGCCUGCGUCGCAUUACCUAGUUGGUGGGGUAAAAGCCUACCAAGGGGACGAUGCGUAACUGGUCUGAGAGGAUGAUCAGCCACACUGGGACUGAGACACGGCCCAGACCUCCGUACGGGAGGCAG
This 222-nucleotide ribosomal RNA is filed under the name uncultured bacterium. RNAcentral describes it as "partial 16S ribosomal RNA". It matches the Rfam family "Bacterial small subunit ribosomal RNA", at positions 118 to 351 of the family's 1533-position model. The record is from RNAcentral.